RNAcentral lists this ribosomal RNA (253 nucleotides) under uncultured bacterium. RNAcentral's name for it is "partial 16S ribosomal RNA". It matches the Rfam family "Bacterial small subunit ribosomal RNA", at positions 524 to 776 of the family's 1533-position model. The record is from RNAcentral.
UACGGAGGGUGCGAGCGUUGUCCGGAAUCACUGGGCGUAAAGGGUGUGUAGGUGGCGCCGUAAGUCGGGUGUGAAAUUUCGGAGCUUAACUCCGAAACUGCAUUCGAUACUGCAGUGCUUGAGGACUGGAGAGGAGACUGGAAUUCAUGGUGUAGCAGUGAAAUGCGUAGAGAUCAUGAGGAAGACCAGUGGCGAAGGCGGGUCUCUGGACAGUUCCUGACACUGAGACACGAAGGCCAGGGGAGCAAACGGG